GACGAACGCUGGCGGCGUGCUUAACACAUGCAAGUCGAACGGAAAGGCCCUGCUUUUGUGGGGUGCUCGAGUGGCGAACGGGUGAGUAACACGUGAGUAACCUGCCCUUGACUUUGGGAUAACUUCAGGAAACUGGGGCUAAUACCGGAUAGGAGCUCCUGCUGCAUGGUGGGGGUUGGAAAGUUUCGGCGGUUGGGGAUGGACUCGCGGCUUAUCAGCUUGUUGGUGGGGUAGUGGCUUACCAAGGCUUUGACGGGUAGCCGGCCUGAGAGGGUGACCGGGACGGUUGGGAGUGGGCUACGGCUCUGAGGGGGAGGGGAGGGUGAAGGGGGGAGUGGUGGUGGCGGGACGGCAGGCGGGUGCAGCGUCGGCGCGUGCGGGGUGACGGGCGGGGGGUUGUAACACGAGGCCGUCGGUGAAGAAGCGGGCGUGAGGGUAGUGGGAAGAGAGGAGCCGGGUAAGUAGGUGACGCGAGCCGCGUAAAGGAUAGAGGAACACACUUCUGCAC
This 508-nucleotide ribosomal RNA is filed under the name uncultured bacterium. RNAcentral describes it as "partial 16S ribosomal RNA". The stretch from base 20 to 332 matches the Rfam family "Bacterial small subunit ribosomal RNA", at positions 47 to 358 of the family's 1533-position model. The record is from RNAcentral.